RNAcentral lists this ribosomal RNA (465 nucleotides) under Vreelandella stevensii. RNAcentral describes it as "partial 16S ribosomal RNA". It matches the Rfam family "Bacterial small subunit ribosomal RNA", at positions 338 to 795 of the family's 1533-position model. Lineage: Bacteria; Pseudomonadati; Pseudomonadota; Gammaproteobacteria; Oceanospirillales; Halomonadaceae. The record is from RNAcentral.
CCUACGGGGAGCUGCAGUGGGGAAUAUUGGACAAUGGGCGAAAGCCUGAUCCAGCCAUGCCGCGUGUGUGAAGAAGGCCUUCGGGUUGUAAAGCACUUUCAGUGGGGAAGAAAGCCUUGGGGCUAAUACCCUCGAGGAAGGACAUCACCCACAGAAGAAGCACCGGCUAACUCCGUGCCAGCAGCCGCGGUAAUACGGAGGGUGCGAGCGUUAAUCGGAAUUACUGGGCGUAAAGCGCGCGUAGGCGGUCUGAUAAGCCGGUUGUGAAAGCCCCGGGCUCAACCUGGGAACGGCAUCCGGAACUGUCAGGCUAGAGUGCAGGAGAGGAAGGUAGAAUUCCCGGUGUAGCGGUGAAAUGCGUAGAGAUCGGGAGGAAUACCAGUGGUGAAGGCGGCCUUCUGGACUGACACUGACGCUGAGGUGCGAAAGCGUGGGUAGCAAACAGGAUUAGAUACCCGGGUAGUC